This 3027-nucleotide ribosomal RNA is filed under the name Triticum aestivum (bread wheat). Its description in RNAcentral is "partial small subunit ribosomal RNA". Lineage: Eukaryota; Viridiplantae; Streptophyta; Magnoliopsida; Poales; Poaceae. The record is from RNAcentral.
AUGCUGGGGAGGGGCCGGGGGCGAGGCCGCGGAGGCGGGGGCAGGGGGAGAUUCAGCGGCGGGAGGGGCGACGGCUCGCCCCGUCUCGGCGGCCGCGAUGAUCCACCGCCGACGCCGCGGCGCUCCUCCGGGUGGGGCGUGGCGCCGCCGUCUCGGCAUCUCUGGGUGGGCAGCCUGGCCCCCGGCGUCACCGCCUCGGACCUUUCGCAGCUGUUCCACCGGUGCGGCGACAUCGAGCGCAUCACCCGCGACCCUGGCCGGACCUUCGCCUUCGUGAGCUUCAUGCGGGAGCAGGACGCCAUCGCCGCGGUCCGGGAACUGCAGGGGGCCCGGCUCCAAGGAACGCCCGUUAGGAUUGAGUUUUCCAAGGGGGAUAAGUCAUCAGGUAGCUAUGUGGAUGACAGACAUGCACAAUCUUCUGAUGAGAGACAUUUUGUUGAACAUGGAAGAAAACAUCAAUCAAGCCCUGAAAAAUCAGUUGAUAAAUCUAAAAGAAAUAAGUCUACAGAACCUAGUGAGGUUUUAUGGAUAGGUUUUCCUGCUGGUCUAAAGGUAGACGAGGCAGCUCUGUGGGAAGCCUUCUCUCCUUUUGGUGAGAUUGUCAAGAUAACAACAUUCCCAGGCCGCACCUAUGGAUUUGUUAAGUACACUACCAUUACAGCGGCAUGCAGGGCAAAAGAAGCACUUCAGGGGAGGCUUUUCAAUAACCCAAGAGUAAGCAUAUGCUUUUCUCGUAAUGAAGGAGUUGCAGCAGAAGUUGGAAGAUGUUCCUCCGUUGCCCCGUAUUCCCCCCACUUAAACCGUAGUGUUCGGUCUAGGUCUGUAUUUGAAAACCAAGAUUUUGAGGCCUUUACUAGGCCAAGGCGUUUUGAUAGUCCUCCGAGAGAUCUCCGCAUGUCAUCACUGCGUGCUGGCCCUGAAAGGUUACUGAGAGAUGCUGAUGAUGUGGGCUUCAGCAGGGAUAAUUAUCUUCGACGCGGACCUCAAAUAGAGUCUGGUCAUGUUUCUAAUUUUGAACCUUUUAGGAUGCGAGGGUUGGGUCCAGAGAAAAGGAUGUCUGAAGACAUAUAUGAACAACACAGAAGUAGCCCUACCAUUAGGGGUGAAACACCAUGGCACAGUAUUCCUUUUGAGCGACCUCGAAGACCCUUCCCGUUGGAAGAUUCUUGGGAUGCAGAUGAUCAUUCAUACCCAUUGUCAAAGAAGCUGAGGACUGGUGAAUUGCAUGAUGCUGAACUUCCCGAAUAUCCAUUCUCUGAAUUUGAUCGAGGGCAUGUUGACUCUGGCUACCCAAGGAGGCCCUUCCGUGAUCUGCGAGUAGAUGAUGCACACCCCAUAACCUAUGAACCUCCCCUGGCGCAUGGUAGAAAUUACAUUGAGCUUGUAAGGAAUCCAAACCCACCUAUUGAUAACCAUGAACCGUGGCGUUCCCAAAAUAGUUUUGCUAUGCAUGCAAGGGAAGUGGAUAGAUCAACUCCUGAACAUCAUGGACCUCUUCCUAAAGAAGAGUGGAGCUGGAAUGGCACAAUAGCAAAGGGGGGCACACCAAUCUGCCGAGCUCGGUGCUUCCCUGUCGGGAAGGUCCUUAACUUCAUGCUGCCUGACCUUUUGGACUGCACUGCUAGGACAAACUUGGAGAUGCUUUCUAAACAUUACUAUGAAGCUGCUAGCAGUUGGGUGGUGUUUUUUGUCCCAGAAAAUGAUGCUGACAUGGCAGCUUAUAAUGAUUUCAUGAACUACCUUGGUGAUAAGCAGCGUGCUGCAGUUUGUAAACUUGGAGAAAGGAGCACCUUGUUUCUUGUUCCACCGUCAGACUUUUCUGAACAUGUACUUAGGGUGCCAGGAAAAGUGAGCAUAUCUGGAGUCAUUCUGAAGUUUCAGCUGGCAAAUCCAGACCUGACCUCUGCAAAUCGUCAACAGGAAGCAUCGGAGAAAAUGCCUACAUCUUUUGCGAGUUAUCUGAACACUGAUGUGAGUAGUCAUGAGGAUCGAGAUGCCUUGAGAAGACUCAACCCUCCAGAUACGAGGACAGUUCCUCAGGGUCCAGAUUAUCUCCAGCCAUCUACUGGAGUCUACACUCCUGCAAGUACAGAUUUUAUUCCACCUUACAAGUUUGCGAAUGCUUCUCCAUAUCUGGCCUCUCAGUUACCUCAACAAAUGCCAGCACCAGACUCCCGCAGGGAAACGGCACAAGGCCAGCACCAGCAAUCCCCAAAUGUGUGGCCCUCAGGAUGGUCCAGUAAUAAUGACCCAAGUCCAGGUUCCGGUAAUUUCAAUUCUUUGGCUGCAAGUGCAGUCUCGCAUACACAAAAUGAUAGGACAUCAGAGCCAUACUCAUUUGCUACUCAGGGAGUACCAAAAGGCACACCAUCAGGGUAUGCACCAGGUGAAGCGUCAAACAUGUCCUUACCUUCCAUGAAACCACCUCAACCUCCAUUGCAGCAGGCAGUUAGACCUCAACAAACUCCAUCUGCCCCAGUAUCACUCCCACCGGUGCAACUUGCACAGCUGGCUACUCUUCUUGCACAACAAAACCAACGAGUAGAAGCUGGCUUGCCAGUAGGCAGCUCAAACAGACAAUCAGGAUUCAUACAGAACUAUAAUCCACGUGAGCAUGCUUCAGUGAUGCCAGACAGCUCAGGUCGAUUCAUACAGAACGCUAAUCAUGCUUCAGUGAUGCCAGAUAGCUCAGGUUCAAUCCCUGUCCACAACUCGCUGUUACCAGUUCCACCAUCUGUCCCAUCGCAAUUGCAGGUCCAUCCGCCGCCAAUGCAAGCUCAUUCUUCCGUGCCUUUGGGGUCAUUUGUUCCCCCACUUCCGGCAGGCCCUCCCCCCUUUCAGCAGCUUACUUCAGGCGGUGCGUCAAUGCAAACUUUGCUUCCUUCUGCCCAGCAGAUGGGCCAGCAGCUGUCUGCUCAGGAAGACCUUGACGGAGAUCCUCAAAAACGCCUUCAAGCAACAUUGCAGUUGGCAGCAACACUGCUUCAGCAGAUACAUAAACAAUCAAAACCAGGUGGCCAGCAAUAG